This 580-nucleotide ribosomal RNA is filed under the name Crenosoma striatum. RNAcentral describes it as "eukaryotic LSU rRNA". It matches the Rfam family "Eukaryotic large subunit ribosomal RNA", at positions 399 to 912 of the family's 3401-position model. Lineage: Eukaryota; Metazoa; Nematoda; Chromadorea; Rhabditida; Crenosomatidae. The record is from RNAcentral.
GUGAAAUCGUUGAAGUGGAACCGGAGAGAGUUGACGUAGUAUGGUGGAUAAGUAUUGCAAGAAUCGCUUCAAACAAUGAAUGUGAUCGAGUAAUAUGUACGUCACCAAAGACUGCGCUGACAGCAUCGACUACACGCUCUGAACUGUGUUGACAUGUUGCCUAUUCUAGUAUAUAGAAUGGUGUCUUGUGUUACGUGGUGAAGUUUGUUGUUAUGUUGUUGAUGUUGAUAAUUAUGAUUAUACACCAAGUAUAAUUAUGUCAGUGUAAAAGUCAACCACCUCUCCGACCCGUCUUGAAACACGGACCGAGGAGUGUAACUUGUACGCGAGUCAUUGGGUGGAAAAACCUUAAGGCGAAACGAAAGUGAAGGCACGGUUAACCGGCUGACAUGGGAAACGUGCGGUAUUGUUAGCGAGACGUUACACCAUGGCCCUGUCUUGUCUGCAUGCAGAUGGGCAGCGGUAGAGCGUACAGGUUGCGACCCGAAAGAUGGUGAACUAUGCCUGAGCAGGACGAAGUCAGAGGAAACUCUGGUGGAAGUCCGUAUCGGUUCUGACGUGCAAAUCGAUCGAUAGACUU